RNAcentral lists this ribosomal RNA (484 nucleotides) under uncultured bacterium. RNAcentral's name for it is "partial 16S ribosomal RNA". It matches the Rfam family "Bacterial small subunit ribosomal RNA", at positions 30 to 507 of the family's 1533-position model. The record is from RNAcentral.
AUUGAACGCUGGCGGCAGGCCUAACACAUGCAAGUCGAGCGGAUGAAGGGAGCUUGCUCCUGGAUUCAGCGGCGGACGGGUGAGUAAUGCCUAGGAAUCUGCCUGGUAGUGGGGGAUAACGUCCGGAAACGGGCGCUAAUACCGCAUACGUCCUGAGGGAGAAAGUGGGGGAUCUUCGGACCUCACGCUAUCAGAUGAGCCUAGGUCGGAUUAGCUAGUUGGUGGGGUAAAGGCCUACCAAGGCGACGAUCCGUAACUGGUCUGAGAGGAUGAUCAGUCACACUGGAAGUGAGACACGGUGCAGACUCCUACGGGAGGCAGCAGUGGGGAAUAUUGGACAAUGGGCGAAAGCCUGAUCCAGCCAUGCCGCGUGUGUGAAGAAUGUCUUCGGAUUGUAAAGCACUUUAAGUUGGGAGGAAGGGCAGUAAGUUAAUACCUUGCUGUUUUGACGUUACCAACAGAAUAAGCACCGGCUAACUUCGUG